ACUAAAUGACUAAUAGUUAUGUUCUUUAAAGUUAAAGAAUUUGGCGGUAUUUUAGUCUUUUCAGAGGAACCUGUUCUGUAAUUGAUAGUCCACGAUUAUAAUUACUUUAGUUUUAAGUUUGCAUAUCGUUGUAGUUUGAGUAUUUUAAAAGAAUUAGAAUAUUCAAUAUGUUUAAUUAAAAUUUAAAUCAAAUCAAGGUGUAGUUUAUAUUAAAGUAGAAAUGGGUUACAUUAAUAAAAAAAUUUAGGAUUAUCUUUGUGAAAAAGAUAUGAAUUUGGAUUUGAGAGUAAUUUUAUUUAUA
Molecule: ribosomal RNA, 301 nt
Filed under: Caryedon sahelicus
Lineage: Eukaryota; Metazoa; Arthropoda; Insecta; Coleoptera; Chrysomelidae
Description: partial 12S ribosomal RNA
Source: RNAcentral